CGUAGGCGGUUUGUCGCGUCUGGUGUGAAAACUCAAGGCUCAACCCUUGAGCUUGCAUCGGGUACGGGCAGACUAGAGUGCGGUAGGGGUGACUGGAAUUCCUGGUGUAGCGGUGGAAUGCGCAGAUAUCAGGAGGAACACCGAUGGCGAAGGCAGGUCACUGGGCCGCAACUGACGCUGAGGAGCGAAAGCAUGGGGAGCGAACAGGAUUAGAUACCCUGGUAGUCCAUGCCGUAAACGUUGGGCACUAGGUGUGGGGCUCAUUCCACGAGUUCCGUGCCGCAGCAAACGCAUUAAGUGCCCCGCCUGGGGAGUACGGCCGCAAGGCUAAAACUCAAAGGAAUUGACGGGGGCCCGCACAAGCGGCGGAGCAUGCGGAUUAAUUCGAUGCAACGCGAAGAACCUUACCAAGGCUUGACAUACACCGGAAACUUCCAGAGAUGGUUGCCCCGCAAGGUCGGUGUACAGGUGGUGCAUGGUUGUCGUCAGCUCGUGUCGUGAGAUGUUGGGUUAAGUCCCGCAACGAGCGCAACCCUCGUCUUAUGUUGCCAGCACGUCAUGGUGGGGACUCAUAAGAGACUGCCGGGGUCAACUCGGAGGAAGGUGGGGAUGACGUCAAAUCAUCAUGCCCCUUAUGUCUUGGGCUUCACGCAUGCUACAAUGGCCGGUACAAAGGGCUGCGAUACCGCGAGGUGGAGCGAAUCCCAAAAAGCCGGUCUCAGUUCGGAUUGGGGUCUGCAACUCGACCCCAUGAAGUCGGAGUCGCUAGUAAUCGCAGAUCAGCAACGCUGCGGUGAAUACGUUCCCGGGCCUUGUACACACCGCCCGUCAAGUCACGAAAGUCGGUAACACCCGAAGCCGGUGGCCCAACCCUUGUGGAGGGAGCUGUCGAAGGUGGGGCUGGAAUCGUCGACCUGCAGGCAUGCAAGCUGACACUGGGCACGACUCU
This 949-nucleotide ribosomal RNA is filed under the name Cellulomonas sp. A16. Its description in RNAcentral is "bacterial SSU rRNA". It matches the Rfam family "Bacterial small subunit ribosomal RNA", at positions 570 to 1533 of the family's 1533-position model. The record is from RNAcentral. Lineage: Bacteria; Bacillati; Actinomycetota; Actinomycetes; Micrococcales; Cellulomonadaceae.